GACUGAAAUUAAUUCAGGGCGUUUGAGGGUCGCACUUUGUCUUUAAAAUUGUUAAAAUCAUGCUUAAUUUUAAUAUUUGUCUCUAAAUUUUUUACAUUUUGUCAACGUCGAUCAUACCAUACGGUAGUCGGUGACUGUCAAAUUAUCUUCAACCACCAAAACUUCCAGCUCUGACGAAGCCCACACGCGUUGGUAAACGGAGUCACAUGCAAUGUUUCAUUUUGUUUUGAUUAGUAAUAAGACCAAACGUGUGAUAAUUUACAGAAUUGCAAUUUAUCUACAACUGUAUUAUGUCAACCCUAGGAGCCAACACAGGAAAAGCAGCUGGCGUGAAGUCUCAAAAUUAUGUCCCAUUUAUCCAUCUUUAUCAAAAUUUGAGUCAAGUUAUGAAUUAAAUGGAAAUAAUUUAUUUAAAAAAUAUAGAAAAAACCGGCCAAGUGCGAGUCAGACUCCCGAACAAAGGGUUCCGUACAUCUAUAAUCUCAUCUAUAAUAGACAAUCAUGUUUGUUGUAGUUAUACUAAUUUUUACUGUUAGUUGUUAUAUGUAUAUGUAAAUCCAUGAGAGUAAAAUUGUUGGGGGUGUAUGGGGACCCCCCUUAAUAUUUAUUUUUUUUAAUUCUAAGUAUUUGUUAUUAUAGUGGUAGCGCUAAAAUAGGUCAUCACAUUUUACCUCAAAAACAAUUGAAAGAAUUAAAAAAAAGUUUACCAUUAAAAAGUUACAUUUUGUUUUUUUGCCAAGUAACAUUAUGACUUAGCCAGAGGUUGUGUGUUCAAUUCCCACCUGGGGCAAAUAUUUGUGUGAUGAACAUAGAUGUUUACUCUGUGUCCGGGUGUAAAUUAUAAUUAUUAUCUAUGUAAGUACCUAACUAUUUAUUA
This is a long non-coding RNA of Colias croceus (clouded yellow), 877 nucleotides long. RefSeq lists it as uncharacterized. The transcript is spliced from 3 exons. NCBI's taxonomy places the organism in Eukaryota, Metazoa, Arthropoda, Insecta, Lepidoptera, Pieridae. The record is from RefSeq and is a predicted model, not a curated record.